UGCAAGUCGAACGAAGCAGCAAUGCUUAGUGGCAGACGGGUGAGUAACGCGUAGAUAAUGUGCCCUCUUGCGGGGGAUACCGUUUCGAAAGGAACGUUAAUACCGCAUAACACCCUUGAUGGGCAUCCAUCGAGGGUCAAACUUCCGGGGCGGGAGGAGCAAUCUGCGUUCUAUCAGGUAGUUGGUGAGGUAAUGGCUCACCAAGCCUACGACGGAUAACUGGUCUGAGAGGAUGAUCAGUCACACUGGAACUGAGACACGGUCCAGACUCCUACGGGAGGCAGCAGUGAGGAAUAUUGCGCAAUGGGCGAAAGCCUGACGCAGCGACGCCGCGUGGAGGAUGAAGGCCUUCGGGUUGUAAACUCCUGUCAGUGGGGAAGAGAAUGGACGGUACCCACUGAGGAAGCUUCGGCUAACUACGUGCCAGCAGCCGCGGUAAGACGUAGGGAGCAAGCGUUGUCCGGAAUUACUGGGCGUAAAGAGCUCGUAGGCGGGAUUGUAAGUCUGAAAGUAAAUCUCACGGCUCAACUGUGGGGCCUUUUCGGAUACUGCGAUUCUUGAGGAUGUCAGAGGAAAGUGGAAUUCCCGGUGUAGCGG
Molecule: ribosomal RNA, 597 nt
Filed under: uncultured bacterium
Lineage: Bacteria
Description: bacterial SSU rRNA
Rfam family: Bacterial small subunit ribosomal RNA
Source: RNAcentral